Molecule: long non-coding RNA, 459 nt
Filed under: Gossypium raimondii (Peruvian cotton)
Lineage: Eukaryota; Viridiplantae; Streptophyta; Magnoliopsida; Malvales; Malvaceae
Description: long non-coding RNA (GRAI_LNC005223)
Source: RNAcentral
UUCUUUCUUACAUACCUGUGUUUCAACACUCGGAUUAUCUCUCCGGCAACGUCUUCCUGGUGGUGGAAGUGGUGAACACUGAAGGCCAAGUAACAAGUUAGCAAAAUGGGACCUGGUGGACCGGGAGGAGGGCCGGGAGGACCUGGUGGACCGGGAGGAUGGGGAGGAGGACCUGGUGGUUGGGGUCCUGGCCCCGGAGGACCUGGCGGAUUUGGGCCUGGAGGUCCUGGUUGGGGUCCGGGACCUGGAGGUCCUGGUUGGGGUCCGGGACCUGGAGGUCCCUGGGGCCCUGGAUUUGGAGGUCCUGGUUUUUGGCCUGGUGGGUUCUUUGGCGGCUUUGCAGAUGGUUUGUGCAAUAUGAUAUCUUCCUGGUAAGCAAUCAAAUCUUUACUCAAUUCCGGUAUAGUUAAAUGCGGUUUGAUUGAGGUUAAAUUUGAUUGGGAUUGCAGCUUCUACUGU